AAAGUAACCCAAAUCAAUAAGUUAUAGCAUUGAAACAGAAAAUAUAAGAAUUCAGGAAAAUAUUCAUGUUUACAGUAAAUUGGUAAGUUAUCUAUGAUAGUAAGACCAUGAUCUCAAAGAUAAACAUUAUAUUCAUCAAUUAUCAUUUACGAUCAUAAAUUAUUUCAGUGUGUUCAAUUUAGUUGAAGACAAUUUGCUGUUGCCAUGGCCUGACAUUUUUUUAAUUGGAUUAUUUAAUACUUAUUUAAGCUCACUUUUACCAUAACAGUAAUCUUUCCUCAUAUCUUUAGCCCUGUAUUUUUUUCAAUAAUCGUUUGAAAGAAUCUCAAUUUCUGACACCAUUGAUUUGAUUUAAACUUCUCCUUUAUGGAUCUACUUAAAGUCAAAUAAUUGUGGCCUAGUAUACUAACCAGAAUGGUUGUCAUUACUGUAAAUUGAAUAUAUGAGAAUAAAAUUAAAUGUAAAAUAUAUUUGAUUUCCUUAUUACAUUUUUGAAAUUCAAAUAUUUUUGGGAGAUUGAAAAAACAUUGAGGUCAUUUAUAAAUGUAUAACAAUUAGGUUACAGAUAGGAUUCGAAAUCAAAAUGACAGACUUCUAAUAGCUCUUUGUAUAAGAAAAUUAAAAAAAUGUAGCUGUGAAGACAAUUGUUUUGUUGUAAUUGUUGUUAUAUAGUAGCUAUUUUUGUAGUAGUUAGUGACAUUCCAGAUAAAUAACGAUAUUUUGUCAUUCAGGAGUCCAGGUCACAUCUAUUAUUUUAUCUUUUUCUCAUCCAAAACUCAUUAACAAAUUUCACUUAAUAUCCAUCUAUACCAUUCAAUGACCUUAGUUAGGAUUAAGUCUUAGAUAGGAAUUUGUCUUUUAUAGAACCAAUAAAUGAGUGUUGCUAUCAGAAGGUAUCAAUACUUAGAUUUAUCUGUUAAUUUACUGGAUUAAAAAGAGCCUAUUCCAGCUGUAUUUAGACUACAUUGUCACUUAAUUCAAUGUAAAUAGAUGUUCUAGCACUGCAUCAAGUGUGAUACAAUAUUUCUCCACUCAAGACAGUUUAAUUUUUAAAUUCAAAUUGUGAAGCUAGCAGUGCAUUUUAAGUAUUUAUAAUUUAACUCGAAAGUAAAAAAAAAAGUAUUGUAUUGAACAAGAUUCAGUGGAGGAAUUUAUUUUUCUAUUGAUUUUGAUUUUUAGUCAAAAUGUAGGCAAAUGUUUUACAUGUACUUCAUUUUUACUGAUCUGCAAAAAAGAUGUUAUCUUUCACCAGCAACAUAGUAUCUUAAAAUCAAACAACCACAUGUUGACUAUGAAAAAUAAAGGCUACGAGUUGGGAAAAGUAUUUAUCAGCUAAGAGGUAAAGAGUUGUACCUACAUACAUGUACAUGUAUCAUGUUACAAAGUUGUCUUGAUGUGAAAUAUAUCAUCUUAAUAAAUUGUUUGCAGCAAUG
Molecule: long non-coding RNA, 1433 nt
Filed under: Mytilus galloprovincialis (Mediterranean mussel)
Lineage: Eukaryota; Metazoa; Mollusca; Bivalvia; Mytilida; Mytilidae
Source: RNAcentral